AGCGACAAAGGUUAACCCGGCUAAAGCCGGGGGCGCAAAGCCACGGGUCCUCGCUCUCCUCCGCGACGCUCUCUCAAUACGCCACGAAGGACCCCACGACCGCCGAGCUACCGUAC
Molecule: non-coding RNA, 116 nt
Organism: Candidatus Rokubacteria bacterium 13_1_40CM_4_67_11
Lineage: Bacteria; Candidatus Rokuibacteriota
Source: Rfam